Molecule: ribosomal RNA, 430 nt
Filed under: uncultured bacterium
Lineage: Bacteria
Description: bacterial SSU rRNA
Rfam family: Bacterial small subunit ribosomal RNA
Source: RNAcentral
AUUGAACGCUGGCGGCAUGCCUUACACAUGCAAGUCGAACGGCAGCACGGGUGCUUGCACCUGGUGGCGAGUGGCGAACGGGUGAGUAAUACAUCGGAACGUACCUUAUCGUGGGGGAUAACGCAGCGAAAGCUGUGCUAAUACCGCAUACGCCCUGAGGGGGAAAGCGGGGGAUCGAAAGACCUCGCGCGAUUAGAGCGGCCGAUGCCUGAUUAGCUUGUUGGUGGGGUAAAAGCCCACCAAGGCGACGAUCAGUAGCUGGUCUGAGAGGACGAUCAGCCACACUGGGACUGAGACACGGCCCAGACUCCUACGGGAGGCAGCAGUGGGGAAUUUUGGACAAUGGGGGCAACCCUGAUCCAGCAAUGCCGCGUGAGUGAAGAAGGCCUUCGGGUUGUAAAGCUCUUUUGUCAGGGAAGAAACACCGGCU